This 1515-nucleotide long non-coding RNA is filed under the name Sus scrofa (pig). Its description in RNAcentral is "lncRNA (ENSSSCG00065031521.1)". Lineage: Eukaryota; Metazoa; Chordata; Mammalia; Artiodactyla; Suidae. The record is from RNAcentral.
GCGUUUCCAGUGAGAUAAAUAGAACCUAUCCAUCCCACUGAUAAUAACGUAUGUUAAAAAAAUAAUAGUAAUAAACACACUAGAUAUAGAGGAAAUACCAUUGAUUGGAUAGAUUUCCUUUAAUCAAUAUUUUAUUUCUGGAGUGUGCUUUUAAUUUCUCAAAGUGCUUUUACAUAUAUUAUCUCAUUUGAUUUACAUAAUGCUUCUAUGUAGCAGGAAGCAGGCAUUUCAUUUUGUAUCACAGAUGGAGAAACCAAGGCUAUUAGUUCAGGGGAUGUGGUGGCCUUGCUAGAGGUCAGACCUCAGACUUCUGCGUCUCCAACCUGUGCCUCUUCCACACCCUGACCCUGUCCCUCUUCAAAAGUCUCACCCUACACUGGGCAAAAACGUGCGUUUUUAUUAACUUGGCAUCAGGGACUGGACCACGGAAAACUGCAUAGAUGAAUUUCUUGUGUCACUGCCCAGAAUUUCUUGUGUCUCGCUGUCUCUCUUUCUCUUCCAUAAUGUGAAAAAAAAUUUUUUUUGCCUUCUCCUGGCCCUUUAAAGUUGUUUCCGCAGAAGGAGAUAUAGAGCCACUCUAGAUUGCAUUUCAGGGUUGGUCGCUGGAGCGGGAAAGGUGACCACGGCAGCUCAGGGGGCCAUCUAUUUUAAUCCGGUGGCACAUGCUCAGGAGAAGGAUCACCCCUGGAAGCAGGAAGAUUCAAGUUCCAGGGAGCACACAUGGGCCGACAGGGAUGACUUUCCCAGUGCGGGUUCCCACUCAAACUCAGAAUGUCUAUUGUCUUAUUGCUUCAGUUGUGGCCAAGGUCUGAGCUGCUGCCUGGGUCUCACUCUUUAGAAACCCCAGCCAUGCCCGCAAGUGGCCCGACUGUGGCUGCACCGAGAAUCUUUGUGCAAGAUUCUGCAUAGUGUAUAGAAAACCGGAAUCCGGUUGCCCAAGUCACAUGCCAGACAAAGCCCCCAGGGUCACUGCUAAAUGUCCAUCGACAGAUGAAUGGAUUAAGAAGAUGUGGUACAUAUACACAAUGGAAUACUACUCAGCCAUAAAAAGAAAAAAAUAAUGCCAUUUGCAACAACAUGGAUGGAGCUAGAGACUCUCAUACUAAGUGAAGUAAGUCAGAAAGAGAAAGACAAAUACCAUAUGGUAUCACUUAUAUCUGGAAUCUAAUAUAUGGCACAAAUAAACCUUUCCACAGAAAAGAAACUCAUGGACUUGGAGAGCAGACUUGUGGUUGCCAAGGGGGCGGGGGAGGGAGUGGGAUGGACUGGAAAUCUGGGGCUAAUAGAUGCAAACUAUUGCCUUUGGAAUGGACAAGCAAUGAGAUCCUGCUGCAUAGCACUGGGACUAUAUAGCACUGGAACUAUAUCUAGUCAUUUAUGAUGGAGCAUGAUGGAGGAUAAUGCAAGAAAGAGAAUAUAUAUAUGUAUGUGUGACUGGGUUACUUUGCUGCGCAGCAGAAAACUGAGAGAAUGCUGUAAACCAACUCUAAUGGAAAAAAUAAAAAUCAUUUAAAG